Molecule: RNA transcript, 6930 nt
Organism: Catharus ustulatus (Swainson's thrush)
Lineage: Eukaryota; Metazoa; Chordata; Aves; Passeriformes; Turdidae
Gene: FOXD1
Gene name: forkhead box D1
Exons: 2
Source: RefSeq, a predicted model, not a curated record
UGCGCUGCCCCGCCGCCGCGCCAUGACCCUUAGCUCGGAGAUGUCCGAGGCGUCGACUCUGGCUGAGGAGACCGACAUUGAUGUGGUGGGCGAGGAGGACGACGAGGAGGACGACGAGGAGCCACAGACCCGCCGCCGCCGCCGCUCCUACGCCGAGGACGAGGAGGAGGACGAGGACGACGACUUGGAAGAGGACGAGGAGGAUGUGGGCGACCUCCACGCCGCCGCCCUACUGCCGCGGUCGCCCGUGCGCGGUGGAGGCGUAGGUGGCGGCGGCGGCGGGGCGGGCGGCGGGGACGCUGCCGGUGGCUCUCGGCCCCCCUCGCAGGGUGGCCCGCAGAAGGCGACGGCGGGCGGCGGUGGGGCGGGCGGCGGCGGCGGCGGGGCGGGCAGCGGCGGCGGCAAGAACAGCCUGGUGAAGCCGCCCUACUCCUACAUCGCUCUCAUCACCAUGGCCAUCCUGCAGAGCCCCAAGAAGAGGCUGACGCUGAGUGAGAUCUGCGAGUUCAUCAGCGGGCGUUUCCCCUACUACCGGGAGAAGUUCCCCGCGUGGCAGAACAGUAUCCGCCACAACCUCUCCCUCAACGACUGCUUCGUCAAGAUCCCCCGGGAGCCCGGCAAUCCUGGCAAAGGCAACUACUGGACGCUGGACCCCGAAUCAGCCGACAUGUUCGACAACGGGAGCUUCCUGCGCCGCCGAAAGCGCUUCAAGCGGCAGCAGCUCCCGGCGCCCGAGCUUCUGCUGCGCGCCGUGGACCCAGCCGCCUUCCUCCCGCAGCCUCCGCCGCAGCCCCCGCAGCAGCCGCCCUGCGCCUACGGACCCUACGGCUGCGGCUACGGUCUCCAGCUCCAGCCUUACCACCCCCACUCCACCCUCUUCGCCUUCCAUCACCCCUCUCCGCCACCCCGCCAGCCCCCUGCCGCCCCCGGCAGCGCCCCCGGUGCGGCGCUGCCCCCCGCCGCCGCCGCGCCGCCUGGCCCCUUGCUGCCGGCGGCGGAGCUGGCACGGACGCCCUUCGGCUACGCGCACCCGCUGGGCCCGGCGCUGGCGGCAUCGCUGCACUCCGCCAAGCCCGGCAGCGGCGCGGCGCUGGCCCGCUCGCCCUUCUCCAUCGAGAGCAUCAUCGGGGGAAGCCCCGGCCCCGGUGCGGGCAGCAGCUGUGCCUCGCAGUCCACCGCGGCGCCGGGGCUGGCCCGCUCGCUGGGGAGCGCCGGGAGCGGCCUGCCCCCCGCCGCCGCCCUGCCCGCCACCCCCGGCUUCGCGGCACGGAUCUCUAACUGUUAAGUGUUUGGGAGUCUUUCCGAAGGUAGGAUCUGGGGUAUCUCCUUUCUCCGCCGCUCGGACGCCCGGCGGACGCUGCCCACAGGGGCUGCCUGUCUUUGCGUGGGGAUAAUUGUGACGGGGCUCGGGGGCUGUCCGCCGCGAACGACGGACCUCCCGUGACCUUCACUAGUGCAAAGCCAGGUGUAGAUCUAGAUACUGCACGGGCAGGCGGUCUCUACAUCGGAAAGUUACUCGCUACACGUUAAAAAGAAACAAACAUGGUGAUAAAUAAUGUCUCUAAACUGUUAAAGUUCAGAGAUUCUCAGGUCUAGGAGCUUGAAAACAGUAAUGUACAGGAGAAAGAAAGGCUUGAGGGAGGACAGCAGAGCAAUACUUUUUCAUUUAGUACACUUGUCUCAUGUACUUUUAUAAAAGAAAAGAUUAACGUGUUUACACAGAAGAAAGUCAAGAUUAUCAUUUCUUAUUUUAACCUGUGUUUUGUAUUAUAAUAGACUUAUGGAGUUUUUUAUUUUGUACUUUAUGCGUAUUCUUUACAAGGAAUAUUGUUAAAAUUACUGGCAAGUAUUAUUGUACCAUUUUAAUGUAAAAUUUUUACACAUUUUCAAAAAUAAAAUUUUUAAUUUUCAAAAAAACAAAAAAUCGAAACCAAACCCAAAGACCAAAGGAGCCCAGCCAAACAAUUGGCUUUGGAUCAUUCCCUCCUUAGCACUUCUCCUUUCUUUGGGACACUGAUAUUUUUUUUUUCUUUGGGAUUAAUAGCACAACAGUCAAGGAAUAUUCUAGCUUGAAAUUUAUUAUGUGCCGAUAUGACCGCAAAGAAGAAAAUAAAAAUACAGUCUUUGCAGUCAAUGCAUUGUUAGCCCUAGAAGAUAAAGAAAGAAAGGAAAAAAAAAAAGGAAAAGAAAACACCAACAAAAAAAGCAACAACAAAACAAAAAAACACUGUAUAAAAAACAGCAGGAACGAAAGAGGGGAUAAAUAGAAAUAGGUCUCUCUGGAGGGAGUAAAGCCCAGUUCUGUAAGGCACCAAUCAGGGGAUUGAUUAAAAAGCCGGUCUAAAACUAUUUUUAUACUUUUGGGUGUGUUUUAAAUCACAACAGCAUCAUAGUUUGGUUUCCAAGAGGCCCAAAGGAAAAUACUACUAAUAAAGGGCAUACAUUGAACUUAAGAGAGAUUUGUUCUAGACACUUAUGUUUCUGUGACGAUAAUAGUGGCAUGUGUUUCUACUUUUCAAUACAUAAAAUAUAAAAUGCGCUUUGUAAAAUCCUCGUGUGACGAGUUGAUUAAGUUUAUAAGCUGUCGAAGUAAGGAUAUUUGAAUGUACAAAACAAUCCAUGAAAGCAGCUUUUCUGAUUCCAAACACUCGUUUUUAACAGCAUAAGGUCGAUAGAUAUCUAUUUUAGAGACUUUUAAAAAAAAAUUAACUAAAAAUCCGGCCUCAAUUAUUCAGAGCUUAUAUAUGGAAAAGAGAAUCGCAUGUUUAAAGAGUAGGCGUGUGAAUGCUUGUUGUGGACUAGGAAUAUGCGUUUUUCAAACCAGGGAGACGCUUUUCAACUACGACUGUAUUUAUAACAAUUUAGGAGACUCGGGGAUCAAUUAUGUGAAUUUUCAUAAUAAAAAAAAUAAAAAGGGAGGGAUGCCUUUUAGUACUCUUUGGAAUGAGGAGGGGUUUUACAUACAGAAGUAACUCGUGGCCUUGAUUUUAAAUAUUCUCGUAGAUAGAAAAGCGGUGGUUCUCCGUUCUAUCUGUAGCAAUGCUGUUAAAAUAGUGGGUUUCAAAAAGCAGGAAGACUGGACAUAAGAUCUCUGCUGGGAUCCAUUUGCAGUCUGGAACUGGAAGGCCUCUUUGGGUGUCCCGGGCUCCUUAGCAGAAAAAGAAGUCAAGUCCGUUGUAAUUUCUAAAACAAAAGGGAAAAUACCCCAGAGCCACUGUGUAUAUAUCCUCUGGGGAGAGCGCGUCUUUUUCACGAGAGACCCAUUAAUUCACUUUCCCCGGGACUGGCCGGAGGAUGCGCCGGGCCGACGGGCCGGUACAGCGUGGAGUAGCAAGCUAAGCAGAGACCCCCCUCGAAAAGGCAGAUCAAGCAGGGAAAGGUUUUGCGGGGCAGAAAGCAGCUGUGGCCGUGCAGCGGUGCGAGGCUCCCCGAGGAGGGAUGCUAUGAUGCUGGCCCUCAGUCUGGGUUCUGUCCGCUCGAGUCCUAGCCAUCUCCACGAGCAGUUACACGAGAAGGGUAGAUUCCGGCGUCCCACCCUGUGUUUGUUUCUCUUGGCUUCUCCGUAGUAGACUCUGGAGAGCCCGGCGACCUCCCCCACCCAGACCCCGGUCCGGCCCAGGCCGGCGGACAGUGGGGUCCAGGUAUGCCCACCGCCCGUCUCUCAGUUCCCCUUAGAGGUGUAUAUGGCAAGUAAACUGUUUGGCCACUUGCUCCUUCCAUGCUUUUCGCCGGUUGCUUGCAUCUCGUGCAGACAAGACCUUCCCUCGGGAGUUGGUAGGGAAGCUGACAGGAGCAAAUUGCCGUAGGUGGUAUAGAUUUCCUUUUUUUCUGCAAGCAAAAGGGGGUCGAGGGAGAGGCCGAGGGUCGAGGGAGAGGCCUGGGGUCGUGGUGAAGGACCCUUUUGCCUGUUCUCCUCGAGUCGGCGGGGAAGCUGCCUUGCCUUGGUCCCAGUCCCGAGGGUCCCUGUUUCCCCGCUGCUGCCCCGGAGCAGGUGCCGCCAGAAAAGGCGCCGGCUCCACAGCCCUUUGAUGAGCUCGCAGCACCGCCGGGCCGCAGCGCCCCAUUCGCAUGCUAAUAACCCGUCGUGCUCUCCGCGGCUUUCAAGACUAACAGAGAAGCUUACAGUGUAGUCCUCGCAAGAACUGAGCCCGGACGAACAAUUCCUCCAAAAUGGUCUGGGCCCUAAUAAAAAAUCUGAUAGGACAUGCAGUAUAGUAUCGCCUCCUUCUCUGUCAGAGACAAAGUGUGGGUUCAUUAACCCGUCUCCUUGCUCAUCAUAUCCCCGUAGGGCUGAGACGAAUUACUGGAUCUGAAUUGGGAGGGGAUUGCUCUAUGAGAGGCUAAUGUUUCAAUCAGUUCAUCCUGAAGGACCACACAAAAAGAAACUUUUUAGUUUAUGGUGCUAUUAUGCGGAGUUUUAAUCUAGGGAUAGAUUUAGCCAAAUGUUAUCUAUUGGGAAUUUAAUGAAGCCCUUAUGUAUUCAAUCGUCUUUUAUGCCACACACAGUGUCUCUAUCCAGAAAUGUUUCCUUCCUCAUAGUUCUUUGUUUCUGAUGGGUGAUUUAUAUUUUUUUAACUAGGCUUUUUAAAAAUUAUUUAUUUUCAAACAUAUUGUAUAACGUUUCUCUUAAGCAGGACUGUGUUAGGUCCCUUCUCACAUCUCCUAUAAGAGGUUUCCCUUUCCCUUCCUGGUUUCGAAGAUGGAUAUUUUGCACGUCCACACACUCUGCCCUUCCCGCUGAAGCGCUCCCGCUGCCUUGUGCGGAUGGGCCGGACAUCGUGCCCACUCUGCCGACACCGCCGUGGGCUGCGACAGGCAGCGCAGCCCGGGGGUCCGGCCGAGCCCCGUGGCUCCCCGUGCACAGUUACCCAGCCCUGAAGCUGCCCUCCACCCAAACCUUCCCCACCCGCAGCUCCUUUGGACCAUACUUUCGGUUCGGUUUGUAUUUUAGACGCGGUGAGAAGCACCGGGGGUCAGCAGGGUGCACAUCCCGUGCUUGCGGGCUGGUUUCAAAUACACAGGACCAGCCCCAUCACCAAGUCCGGAAGAUGGAAGAGGGGGGCGAGGCCCUCACCUGCUCUCAGCUGCUCCCUUUCUCGCAGCGCUGGUGGCGAGGGCAGAGCACACGAUCUCCACCGUCGAGACUGAGGCCUAUUCGGGGAUCUGUGGGAAAAUGGAUCUGGUUUAACUGUCCCUUGGCACGGCCCGGAGACUCCACUCCGUAUGUAGUACUUUCCAUUAGUACUUACAGUAAGUACUGCUGUAGUGUCUGAUAAUAUUGUAUUUGACAGAAGUAAUGGAAAUUAUGAUCUAUGCCAAGCCCUCUCUGCUCUGGAGCUUCUAACCACUGAAGAUCUGUUUUUCAGCUUGUUCACAGUGGCUUCCCCACCUGCAGUGGUAUUUCCCCUCCUUCCCUCGGCGACGGGCCGCACACAUCAUCGGAACCGAGCACUGGCGGGGACUGGCUGCCAUGUGCCCGCAGCUCAGCGCAUCCCGACCAGUCCUUUCUCCUUUCCAACCCUCACCGUGAGAGUCACGUCCAGCAGUGCCCUUUGGGUCUCUGCUCACUGCCCCUUCCUGCGCUGCAAAGCACGCCCAAGAUGUGGAGGAGACGUUCACGCACAAGUGUGUGUAUGUGUGUGCAGGAGAAUGGCACUCCAGAAGGUAACAAGAUGCUGCCGGAUCCACGCUGCGGCAACAACCGUGCUGGGUGCCUCGUUGCGCAGUUGGGUGCCUGUCGAUUUUGGGGAGGGACGGAGAAAUGAACGCGAGUUCCAAGUCGGUAAACCUCUUGCUCUUGUUUUUCACUUGCGGAAGAACUCUGUUCCCGCCGCCAGUCCCCCCCGCCUCGAGGUGUACUGCAGGCAGCCGGCCCUGGAGACACGCCGGCCCCUUCCCAGACGCUUGCCUCGGCUCGCCGCUCAGUUACCGGCACGACCGAAAACAACAAAGGCAAAGGCUGCAGGGUUGGGAAGGCACGCACGGGGAGCCCCUCGGCCGAACUCGCGAGCAGCCGCAGUGCGGGUGGCACCGAGGGCUGUGCGCGGCUGCGCAGCCGAGCAGAGCUUCCCCGGCCUCGGCGUGUGAGCGGGGAGAGACCGGACGGCGUCUCCGCGACAGUCACCGCAGGAUGCCCACGGAAGAUGCACAGCGUACGAAGAUAAGCCCUCAGUGCAGCAGCGAGAGACACAGAGGCACCCGCUGCGCUCCGCGUCACGGAGAGACCUAUCGGCUAGGCACCGCAGUGCCCAAAACGUAGAAAAACAUUUGGACUGAACUGGACGAAAGGCGGUUUUUUGUUGUUUCUGUUUUGGGUUUUUUGUUUUCUUAAGUGCAGUGUCUAGUCAAUUUCAGAAAUUCCACCACUGAGCUAAAUUCAGAAGGAAAUUUGUAGUUUUGAGGUUUUUAUUUUUCUGAUCAAAAUAAUUAAACUUGCCCUUCCUCUAAGCCACAGGAGACCUGUUGAAUAGAUUCUGUUUCCCUUUCGUUGAUGCAGUAAAACGGCAUGCAGAAAUCUGCGCGUCCCCAUAUUUUGAUGACAGAUUAUGCAAUUUAUGUUAGAAGCAAAAGGAUAAUUAGAUAAUUCAGUUGUUGCAUUAAUUCGUUUCUUAAGGCUGGGAAAGCCUUAUCUCUACGGUAAAUCCGAAGAUAUUUCUGUCCCCUGCGUGAAAUAGGAAACCAUGUGAGAGCAUCGAAAGGCGUUCGAACAUUCAGGAGUGUGUUUCUCGCACCCGGUGAUAUCACCAUCCCGUGCCCGCACUGCGGUCAUCUCUCCUGCUAAUGCCCAGGCUUUGGCAGUCCUUUAAAAACCCGUGAAUGUCUCUUCGUACCGCAGUGGUCGUAGGACUGCUUCUUCAGUUUCAUUGCAGGGGAGUACAUGCACACCUGUAUAUACGAGAUACAUUAAAUACAUACAAUCAAGAUUAAUGA